Molecule: ribosomal RNA, 397 nt
Filed under: uncultured bacterium
Lineage: Bacteria
Description: partial 16S ribosomal RNA
Rfam family: Bacterial small subunit ribosomal RNA
Source: RNAcentral
AUACGUAGGUGACAAGCGUUGUCCGGAUUUACUGGGUGUAAAGGGCGUGUAGGCGGUUUAGCAAGUCAGAAGUGAAAUUCCCGGGCUUAACUUGGGCGCUGCUUCUGAAACUGCUUUACUUGAGUGCUGGAGAGGAUAGUGGAAUUCCUAGUGUAGCGGUAAAAUGCGCAGAUAUUAGGAGGAACACCGGUGGCGAAGGCGGCUAUCUGGACAGUAACUGACGCUGAGGCGCGAAAGCACGGGGAGCAAACAGGAUUAGAUACCCUGGUAGUCCGUGCCGUAAACGAUGAAUACUAGGUGUAGGGGGUAUCGACUCCCUCUGUGCCGCAGUUAACACAUUAAGUAUUCCACCUGGGGAGUACGGCCGCAAGGUUGAAACUCAAAGGAAUUGACGGGG